AAUGUUUUCUACAUACUUGCAACUUAAGGAACAUCAAACAAAAGGACUACUUCUUCAGCUGAAUCCUCUGGAAUGGAUGCGCUUCGAUGUAGGCCAAAGCCUUGAGGAUGUAAUCAGGAAUGGGAGGCGGCGUGGGCAGAUGAGCACCAGUAGGACGAUAUCCGUUCUCAUCGGCAGUGUACUCCAGCUGGAUGGGUGUUCCAUCGGGAGCAGCGUAGCUCACGGAUCCGGCAGCUUGGACUCCACCCACUCCACUCUCCUGGGCAUCGAUGCCGUUGGACGUUCCGUAUUCCCAGCUGUAUGAGCCAUCCGGCUUGAUCUCGUUGCGGUACUUGGUGGUCUCGGCCUGAGAUUCGUCUGCAGCCCGGAUGGCGGCCACCAGGAACAGGGAAAUGAUUAGCGCCUUGAUGCCGGAAAAGAUACACCAAUUAGAUGUGCUAUUAUAGCUAUUAUCGCAUCGGACUUACGGUCUUGAUCAUUUUGGUGUUGGAUUUGCUGCAGUUGCUACUGAUUGCUGAUUACUGAUCUCCAAGUUCGGCGACAGAUCGUUUUAUACUCGCAACGAUCACUGACCUACACCUACACCAUCGCCGAACAGGUGACUCUUCGCCAUUCCGAAUUAUUAAUUUAAUUCGCGCAUUUGAAAAUAUGAAUUUGACCGCGUUUUUACGAGCUUAGUAGUUCGCCUAAUAGCUGCUUUGUCAUCUGUUGUUUGUUUUAACUACGGUUUUACGACCCAGGUGCUCUAUAACCCAGGCCAACUUAUGAGUAAAGGCCUCUCCUUAUCUGCGCCUUAGAAAUCACAGAUCAACGAUCUCGAUUUACAGACGCUGCCACACAAUGGCUCUUUUCUUAUCUAAUCUUGACUUAUAUUCAUAAUAAAUAAAUAAAUCGUAAGCCGAAUUUGGAGUUACCAGAAAUAUUUCAGCGAAUAUGACACACUCUUUCUCUUGAGUAAAAUUAAUGUAUAAUAAUACAAAUGUAUAUGAUUUGGGGAGUGAUACAUUUUCUAAAAGAAACAUUU
Molecule: non-coding RNA, 1024 nt
Organism: Drosophila melanogaster (fruit fly)
Lineage: Eukaryota; Metazoa; Arthropoda; Insecta; Diptera; Drosophilidae
Source: Ensembl